GAUGAACGCUGGCGGCGUGCCUAAUACAUGCAAGUCGAGCGAACGGACGAGAAGCUUGCUUCUCUGAUGUUAGCGGCGGACGGGUGAGUAACACGUGGAUAACCUACCUAUAAGACUGGGAUAACUUCGGGAAUCCGGAGCUAAUACCGGAUAAUAUUUUGAACCGCAUGGUUCAAAAGUGAAAGACGGUCUUGCUGUCACUUAUAGAUGGAUCCGCGCUGCAUUAGCUAGUUGGUAAGGUAACGGCUUACCAAGGCAACGAUGCAUAGCCGACCUGAGAGGGUGAUCGGCCACACUGGAACUGAGACACGGUCCAGACUCCUACGGGAGGCAGCAGUAGGGAAUCUUCCGCAAAGGGCGAAAGCCUGACGGAGCAACGCCGCGUGAGUGAUGAAGGUCUUCGGAUCGUAAAACUCUGUUAUUAGGGAAGAACAUAUGUGUAAGUAACUGUGCACAUCUUGACGGUACCUAAUCAGAAAGCCACGGCUAACUACGUG
Molecule: ribosomal RNA, 497 nt
Filed under: uncultured bacterium
Lineage: Bacteria
Description: partial 16S ribosomal RNA
Rfam family: Bacterial small subunit ribosomal RNA
Source: RNAcentral